Ictidomys tridecemlineatus (thirteen-lined ground squirrel) is the source of this 547-nucleotide non-coding RNA. Lineage: Eukaryota; Metazoa; Chordata; Mammalia; Rodentia; Sciuridae. The record is from RefSeq and is a predicted model, not a curated record.
UCUUCAUGAUUUGUAUCGUCAGAGCAUCUUGAAUCGUUACUAACAUUAGGGGAACAAGAGAGAGCAGAGAGAAGUUGUAAACAAGGGAGACUAAUGUCUUUUCAAAAAUGCGCUAGGAGGGUCUAUCUCCCCCGUGGUUGUGGCCAUGUCUGGAACUGCUGGUCCUCAUGCCAAAUACUUGGAGGGAGGAAGACACGUUCUUUGGUGACACACCCAACUUGAGUGCCAAUGCAGGGCAAGUCCCCCUCCAUCCACCCCACUGGCUGUCACCGUUACUGUUUUCACACAGGUCUUCUUGGAAGGAGAAAGCCACAGCUGCAUGGACUUGACCCGAGAGACACACAGGUGAAGUCAUUCAGCUUGAAGCCUUUCAUCGCUGGCUUUUCCACUCGGCAGGAUGCCUUUUCUCCAACAUUUUUAUUAAGAAUUUUCAGUCAAGAAGUGAAUCACCAAGCAUAGACUACUUUCUUGCAGUACAACUUAUCCAUGCGGAGAACUGCCAUUUAAAGAGCAAAAAUUUUAAUUUUAAUAAAAUCAUUAUUACCCA